UAAGUACCAUUGCCGAACACGCGCGCUUGACCAUCAAAUGUGACAUCUCAAUUAAUGAGGGAGAUCAAAUGGCCCUUGUUUUUUUCUAUUUUCUUUUUAAUUUCUGAUUUUUCAUUUAAUCCUUUUAUUUUGUUUAAUUCAUAUUAAUUUCUUUUUUAAUCCAAAAAAUACGGGACUUUCACCAAAAAUCUUUAAAUAUUUUCCUCUUCCAUAUUUUGAAUUAAAAUCAAUUUUUG
RNAcentral lists this long non-coding RNA (236 nucleotides) under Lathyrus oleraceus (garden pea). Its description in RNAcentral is "Pisum sativum (pea) long non-coding RNA (PSAT_LNC006873)". Lineage: Eukaryota; Viridiplantae; Streptophyta; Magnoliopsida; Fabales; Fabaceae. The record is from RNAcentral.